UUUUACAUGAACACAACUAACUUUAAUAUCAACCAUGUGGAUACAUUGAAAUUAUUAAUGUUAAUAUUGAUCAGUAAUUAGGAUUUUAUCGGAUAAGGUAUUCUAAGCAAUCAAAUUCAAUUCAACUCGAUAACUUAUCAAAGAUUAAUUGAUAAUUAUAUUAGUUGAAAUGUGUUUGAAUCACCUGAUUUUUACCUGUUCCGAUUAUGUGAGAAAAUGUCAAACUAUUUAAAAAUAAUUAUUUUCUCUAAGUAUAAAAGGAGGUGAAAUUGAAUUGUGAAAAUCAUUCUGACUCUUCAUUUGUUCAACAAACAAUUAACUGAUUAUUUGAAUUUUGCUCGUGUGUUUAAAUCACUCAUUUCAAUCCCAACAAAUAAAAUGGACUCCAAAUCAAUCAUCGUUUAUGUCGCUCUCUUUGCUUCAGCCAUCGCAAUGGCUUUUGCUAACCCAGAGCCCGAACCUGAACCACAACCAAUCAUGCAGUUGGUCAACGGUCUUCUCGGAAAGUAAUUAUAAUCAUGUAGAGAAAUUGUCUCAUUAUUGAAAAUAAACCAAUUAAUCAAUGAAGUUUUUACUGAUUAAAAUGAGACGAGUUAAUUUCUAUUAACCGAUAUGUUACUCUGAUUGAUAAAUUUAAAUAAAGAUUUAUUAUCAACUCAAA
This is a long non-coding RNA of Panonychus citri (citrus red mite), 661 nucleotides long. RefSeq lists it as uncharacterized. NCBI's taxonomy places the organism in Eukaryota, Metazoa, Arthropoda, Arachnida, Trombidiformes, Tetranychidae. The record is from RefSeq and is a predicted model, not a curated record. The transcript has 2 exons.